Long non-coding RNA from Phocoena sinus (vaquita), 2626 nucleotides. NCBI's taxonomy places the organism in Eukaryota, Metazoa, Chordata, Mammalia, Artiodactyla, Phocoenidae. The record is from Ensembl.
GUAGGUCCUCCCGCUGUGAUUCGAUCGCAGCCUGCGUUUAGCUGCUCCUCGAGGGUUCUCCUGGCAGCUAGAAAACAGGGAGGCCGGAGAGCAUAGACUAUAUGGGGAUGGUGGCGGAGAUGGUGGGGAGAGGGCCACCCCUCGUGGGCCCGCCCCUAUCCAUAGCCAGCGCUCCCUUCCAGACCCAGGGCCCUCAGGGCCUGGCUGGGGUUUGAUUUAUAGGAGCAAGAGGGGCUUGUGGCGAGACCACCACCUGGAAAGCGUGUUGACCCUGGAGAUCCCAGCCUUAAACUUGAUCCAUGAUCUGCACCAGCGAAGACAUCAAAGGACAUUUGUUGAAGUCACUGUUAGGACAAGAACCACGCUGGAAAGUGCUUGUGAUAAAGGCCCACAGGGAAGGGCGUGGCCGCUGCUGGCGGCUCCGGGCAGAAGCGAGUGUUGUGCCAUCGAGCUUUACAGAUUUCAAAGCCUCUGGCUGUUUGGGACCAAAGUGUGUCUUACUGUGUCAGUCUGGGAGGGCAGGUGCCUUGCGGUCUGGAUCGGGGGCAGCCAUGGAGCCGGCCCGCAGCACUGCCCUCCCGGCCCCUCGCCUGGGAGCGAGCAGGGACCAUCCUUGCAGUAAGGUUAUUCCCAGGUCGCACUGACUUGAAGCUCUGUCGUCACCUUGUGUCUUAAGAGAAGCCGAGAGGCAGGGCGGGCGGGCUGCCUGCACGCGGUGGUUGCCGCCCAUGGCUCAGGGCUGUGUGCUUCCUAUCGCUGUACCUCAGGGCGAUGUGGGGCGACUGCCCCAGAGCGGUCCUCUGUGGCCUGCUAACUCGAAAGGUACUCUGUCUGGUGUUCCGGCCAAGGGGACUGGUCAGGCUGUGACCAGUGGGCUGUGACAACCCCUGGGUAGGCUGGCCGGGUGGCUGAUGCUGGAGAUGACCCUGGAGUUGGCCUUGUGGGCCCCGGGGGUCUGCGGGCACCGCUCAGGGCCCAGUGUCCCUGAGCAGAGGGCUUGGCAGAGAUUUGGUUGGUCGCCGUGUCAUAUAAAUGGACUUACUACCAAAACAGGGUAACAUAGGUCUGGUUUGCACCCCUGGUUCCCUAUAAAAGUCCGCUGAGUGGAGAAUCAAAUCGAUGCCCCAGACACGCGGCGGGGUCUGCCCGUGAGGGAGCGCCCCCCCGUGGGGAGGCUCGAGGGGCCAUCGAGGUUGGCCAGGUGGGACCUGGUACCCAUUCUGUCGGCAGGGUCAGCACUGCGAUGUUCCCCGGGUGGCUGGAGGGCCCCUGAGCUGGGGGGACCAGCAGUGUCCCCCAGAGGGAGGCAGGACGGCUGGGUCGUUGGCUCCAAAUAGUCCUCGGGUGUGUUUUCUUAAAGGCUCGAGUGUGUGGAGACGUAGAUCUCUGGCCCCCCAGAACCCCAAGGUGGAGCCUCUGAGAGGCUGCAGGGGCAGGAGUGGCUGGUAGAGCUUGUGGGGAAGGGCCGUCCUCUCUGUCCAGCCUUCGCCUUCCGGGCACCACAGGCCCCUGUAGCCUGAGCUGAAAAAACGCUCCGGGAGGUGCCAGCCGAUCCCUUGUGCAGCUGAGGGCGCGCAGCAGCCGGUGACAGGGACAGCUGCGCAGAGCAAGGCUGUCAGACCCCAGAUUCUCUGGACAUGAGCCACGUUCGAGCUGUUGGGCUUCCACCCGGGCUUCUGUCCACCUUUGGCUGCCCCGGCUGUGAGCGCAGGAACCCCUGUGAGGGGCCUCCUGGGAAGGUUGCUGCCAGAAACGGACGUGCCCGACUCUCCGUGUUCCAUCCACAGGCGGCUGCUUCUAGGACACACCAUCCAUCUCCUGCCCGCUUCCGGGCCUGGGGCCUCAGGCCUGCCUGACAGGGCUAACGCAAGGGUCCACCCCCGAGCGUUCCUGGGGCUCAGCUGUCAGCGGACUGGUGUCGAUUCAUCGCGGCUCUUGGGCACCCGGUAUGUUUGGGGGCUGUUGUCAUUACCUCCUCGUGGGGAGCCGCCCACCGCCGUCCUGGCCCCUUGGCCAGCCCAUCCUCGGGAGUGGCCGCCUCCACUGGGCCUCCACCGAGCUGAGUGCCCACCUUGCCCUCUUGCCCUACCCCGGGCUGCCAGGGGGCACAGCUCCACGUGCUGUGGACCGAGACUGUCUCUCGGUGGCGGAAUGACCCAAUUGUUGGAAAUGCCUCCUGCUGCCAGAGAAACUCCCCAGGCAUCUCGGAACAAAACUUACUUAGUUCCAUUGUGAACUGGCCACAGGACAACUUUUUUUUUAUCAACUUAAUUAAGUUGGAGCGCUAUAAUAGCUCUUGCUGAUUUUAGCAGUGAUACAAGUGUGUGUUAAACACAUAACGUUUUAUGAGGAAAAGGGAUUAUAAAGAAAGGUAAUAUCGCACAUCACUUAAUUUUUUUAUUAGGUGGGCACAAGCGGCCUGGUGUUCGUGUGUCUUGAUGCAGAGCCCUAGGUCUCGGGGCUUCUUUCCGGUAGAUGUGGCUGCAUGGCACUCUCUGCCCCAUCCCUGUGCAUAAGGUCCUGUCUGUGUGACACGCUCACUUUCCGAUGUAGACCAGGCUCUCCCUAUGUCUGUUUCGCUCUGUCACUCUGUGGUUGAAACUUAAUAAACCUUUCCCUGCCAGGU